AUGGAACGCAACUUGCGGACGAUGUGCGUGGAGAAGAGAUCCUGAGGAGGAGAGGAUAUUGGAUCUGAGUGCGCGAGGGAGAAGCAAAAGGAUAUUCAGAAAGUACAGUCUGCAGUAUAUACAUUGAAAUAUUGCCAAUCUCCCCGCUGCUUCUGACGAAGUAUCAAUCUCGGACUGAUUGCUCUCUUCUUGUGGUCUUACAAGACUUGAAAUAUUGGUAUGUCCCAUACAUUGUCUUAAUGCAUUAGUUUUGUUAUAUUUGCAGUGUGCACAUGACUCUUUCUUAUCUUUAUUUAUUAAUAACAAAUAAACAACAUUGUUUGUUAUCUUUACUUAUUAAUAAAAGUAAGUAGGAAUUCUGGAUAAUGACUUAUGAAUAACAAUAUGUAGAAAUUCUGAAUAAAAAAGUACAUGAGAAAUAUGGUGUCCACCUUAACAGAGCAAUAAUAAUUUUAGUUGCUG
Molecule: long non-coding RNA, 462 nt
Organism: Triticum dicoccoides
Lineage: Eukaryota; Viridiplantae; Streptophyta; Magnoliopsida; Poales; Poaceae
Exons: 3
Source: RefSeq, a predicted model, not a curated record